Long non-coding RNA from Telopea speciosissima, 176 nucleotides. RefSeq lists it as uncharacterized. The record is from RefSeq and is a predicted model, not a curated record. Lineage: Eukaryota; Viridiplantae; Streptophyta; Magnoliopsida; Proteales; Proteaceae. The transcript is spliced from 2 exons.
CACAUGAAAAAGGAAGAACCAAAGGAAAGAUUAGAACGUUCAGUAACAAUUGAGUUCAAAUGAAGAUAAUUUCAGAACAAAUGAAAACCCUAGAGGAAUUCUUCUAAAAAUUAUAGACCUCAAGUAAUGAAUGAGAGGCGUCUCCAACAAAGCAAAUAAAAUAUCUUAUUGAAUGA